This 594-nucleotide ribosomal RNA is filed under the name Triticum aestivum (bread wheat). RNAcentral's name for it is "partial small subunit ribosomal RNA". The record is from RNAcentral. Lineage: Eukaryota; Viridiplantae; Streptophyta; Magnoliopsida; Poales; Poaceae.
AUGAAAGAUCCGUUUUCUGGCCUUCCUAGUGAAGAUGCCGCUACCCAUCUAAAUAGCUUCGUUGAUUUGUGUGAUAUGAAAAAGAAGAAAGAUGUGGAUAAUGAUAUUGUUAAAUUGAAUCUAUUCCCUUUUUCUCUUAGAGAUCGUGUUAAAGCUUGGUUUUCGUCUUUGCCUAAAAAUAGUAUUGAUUCAUGGAAUAAGUGCAAAGAUGCUUUUAUCUCUAAGUAUUUUCCUCCCGCUAAGAUCAUCUCUCUUAGAAACGAUAUUAUGAAUUUUAAGCAACUUGAUCAUGAACAUGUUGCACAAGCUUGGGAGAGAAUGAAACUAACGAUAUGUAAUUGCCCUACUCAUGGUUUCAAUUUGUGGAUGAUUAUACAAAAUUUUUAUGCCGGAUUGAAUUUUGCUUCUAGGAAUCUUUUAGAUUCGGCCGCGGGAAGCACUUUUAUGGAAAUCACUUUAGGAGAAGCUACUAAACUCCUAGAUAAUAUUAUGGUUAAUUAUUCUCAAUGGCAUACCAAAAGAUCUACUAAUAAAAAGGUGCAUGCGAUAAAAGAAAUUAAUGUUUUGAGUGGAAAGAUGGAUGAACUUAUGUAA